UGGUCUUAAUGUUAUGGCUGAUCAGUGUAUGUCCCUGUACUUGUCUUCACUUGUUCUGCAGUCACUUAAAAAACAACAACCUGCAAGUUUGUGAGGAGAAAUGGCGUCGUCUUCCUGCCAUUGUGCAGGUGGAUAUGGCACAGACAAAGGAUUCUGUCAGUUAUACGUGGAGCUGAUUCCCUGACCGAUGGUGAAACUACAAAGCAGGAGUUCCGAGCAGUCAGACUCAUUCCACAUCCCUAUGAUGGACAUGCAAAUGAUAUCAUGCUCCCAAAGGCCUCGUCCUGCAGCAGGCCAUGACCCCUCUUAAGGUAAUGGGAGCUGAUCCAGGUGCUGCACCCUCUUCAUUAACACUCCUCUAACACAACGGACAAGACUGAUGUCAACACUCACAUAGGGGAAAUGUUGCAAAAUAUCUGCACAGUGUUUAAACCACUAUAUGUGUGUGUCUUUAUGUGACAAAUAAAAGAGAUCUUUCCAGAAAAUGAC
This is a long non-coding RNA of Sebastes umbrosus (honeycomb rockfish), 489 nucleotides long. RefSeq lists it as uncharacterized. Lineage: Eukaryota; Metazoa; Chordata; Actinopteri; Perciformes; Sebastidae. The transcript is spliced from 3 exons. The record is from RefSeq and is a predicted model, not a curated record.